UGCGCAGGCGGUUAUAUAAGACAGAUGUGAAAUCCCCGGGCUCAACCUGGGAACUGCAUUUGUGACUGUAUAGCUAGAGUGCGGCAGAGGGGGAUGGAAUUCCGCGUGUAGCAGUGAAAUGCGUAGAUAUGCGGAGGAACACCGAUGGCGAAGGCAAUCCCCUGGGCCUGCACUGACGCUCAUGCACGAAGCGUGGGGAGCAAACA
Molecule: ribosomal RNA, 206 nt
Filed under: uncultured bacterium
Lineage: Bacteria
Description: partial 16S ribosomal RNA
Rfam family: Bacterial small subunit ribosomal RNA
Source: RNAcentral